CUUCCAAGUCCUUUAGGCUGUGCAAGAAGCCCAGGAAAAAGGAAAAGUCUCUCUCUCCAUACAGGAUGCUGUCAUGCAUGAAGCCAUAUUGCCUAGCCCACCUCCCUCAGAAUGGCCUUUGCCAAUCCUGGAACGAACUUAGUGGAGGCAACACCCUGAUGACUCUUCAUGAAGAUUCAUAGCUUCAUCACGUAGUCUUGUAUCCUCUAGA
RNAcentral lists this long non-coding RNA (211 nucleotides) under Elaeis guineensis (African oil palm). Its description in RNAcentral is "long non-coding RNA (EGUI_LNC007251)". The record is from RNAcentral. Lineage: Eukaryota; Viridiplantae; Streptophyta; Magnoliopsida; Arecales; Arecaceae.